Molecule: long non-coding RNA, 419 nt
Filed under: Heterocephalus glaber (naked mole-rat)
Lineage: Eukaryota; Metazoa; Chordata; Mammalia; Rodentia; Bathyergidae
Description: lncRNA (ENSHGLG00100050961.1)
Source: RNAcentral
CUUUUCAUUUUACUAUUAAAGGACAAAUGCUAAAAAACUGAAGAUGAAGCCAUGUUCCCCGGGCAGAAUAGACAGCAGGCGUUGUGGCUGUCUUGCGGGAGUCAGACUCUAACACGAAGCCCGGCUUCCCCCAGAACAAGGAUCGUUUGGCUGCUAGAGUGUACACUGGAUAAAGACAAGAUGGAAAGCAGGUGCAGGGCUCCUACAGAAACACCAAGUCCAAGGGAGUCUGAGGAGUCUGCCCAGAGAUGAUCAGGCUGAAUGAGGCUACCUGCGGAGGACUCUUCAUGCUCCUCCUUACCGAACCUCUGCAACUCACACCAUGUGGAAGCACAUAGGACACAGCACCAAAGUCUAAAGCAGAAAGCAUGUAGAUCCCAGAGGUGAUUUCCUCAGGUGUUUGUCACAAAAACAGGAAG